This 700-nucleotide ribosomal RNA is filed under the name Lactococcus lactis. RNAcentral's name for it is "bacterial SSU rRNA". It matches the Rfam family "Bacterial small subunit ribosomal RNA", at positions 140 to 837 of the family's 1533-position model. Lineage: Bacteria; Bacillati; Bacillota; Bacilli; Lactobacillales; Streptococcaceae. The record is from RNAcentral.
GGGACAACAUUUGGAAACUAAUGCUUAUACCGCACAACAACUUUAAACACACGUUUUAAGUUUGAAAGAUGCAAUUGCAUCGCUCGCAGAUGAUCCCGCGUUGUAUUAGCUAGUUGGUGAGGUAAAGGCUCACCUAGGCGAUGAUACAUACCCCACCUGAGAGGGUGAUCGGCCACAUUGGGACUGAGACACGGCCCAAACUCCUACGGGAGGCAUCACUAUGGAAUCUUCGGCAAUGGACGAAAGUCUGACCGAUCAACGCCGCGUGAGUGAACAAGGUUUUCGGAUCGUAAAACUCUGUUGGUAGAGAAGAACGUUGGUGAGAGUGGAAAGCUCAUCCUGUGACGGUAACUACCCACAACGGGACGGCUAACUACGUGCCAGCUUCCGCGGUUAUACGUACGUCCCGAGCGUUGUCCGGAUUUAUUAAGCGUUAAGCGAGCGCAAGUGGUUUAUUACGUCCGGUGUAACAGGCAGUGACUCAACCAUUGUAUGCAUUGGAAACUGGUGCACUUGAGUGCAGGAGAUGAGAGUGGAAUUCCAUGUGUAGCGGUGAAAUGCGUCUAUUAUGGAGGAACACCGGUGGCGAAUGCGGCUCUCUUGCCUGUAACAGACACUGAGCUACAAGCGUGGGAGUGACUGGAUAGAUGCCCUGUAGUCUCGCACUAGCGAUGAGUGUUAGAUGUAGGAUCUAUAUCGU